RNAcentral lists this transfer RNA (75 nucleotides) under Elusimicrobiota bacterium. RNAcentral's name for it is "tRNA-Arg". It matches the Rfam family "tRNA". Rfam says of the family: Transfer RNA (tRNA) molecules are approximately 80 nucleotides in length. The record is from RNAcentral. Lineage: Bacteria; Pseudomonadati; Elusimicrobiota.
GCCCCCAUAGCUCAAUGGAUAGAGCACCUGCCUUCUAAGCAGGUGAUACAGGUUCGAUUCCUGUUGGGGGUACCA